Long non-coding RNA from Bubalus bubalis (water buffalo), 2365 nucleotides. RefSeq lists it as uncharacterized. The transcript is spliced from 3 exons. NCBI's taxonomy places the organism in Eukaryota, Metazoa, Chordata, Mammalia, Artiodactyla, Bovidae. The record is from RefSeq and is a predicted model, not a curated record.
UCAUCUAUAAGUGGUCCAUGGCAUCUCUUUGAUUUUCAGAUGUCUGAUUUUUCAUCUGAUAGAGUUUUGUUGUUGUUCCCAAGUAUCAUUAGCCUUUUCUUGUGUCGUAAACAUAUCAAAUGGCUGUUCCUAACAAGCUGAGGCAUGAAAGCGGGUGGAUGCAAGCACCCAGUCCAGCGGGUGCAGGCUGAGACAGGCUGGCCGAGUGGGAGCAGGUGAACAGACAAGCAGCUAGUUGUUCUCUGCCGCCCACGGCCAGCUGCGCCCGCCCCGCAUCCCCAGCCUCCCCAGGCAUCGCAAUCUCCCUGCAGAAAUGCCUCCACUACAGGCCUCUUGCUUCUCUGGCACACAAAGAAUGUCUGGUUUCAUAGCUAUUCAUGCACUGAUUAUAGGAUUAACUGCAACCUGCAGCAAAGGCAGGUUGUCUGGGAUGAAUUGAAUGGAGCAACUUGACAUCAAUAUUGUUACAGAGCAUGUUGACAAAGGCUCAGCCACAGCAUGAAGACCGGGAAAGAGCGGCGCAUGGCAGCACUUACCCACUCUGUCCUGGAGAAAUGCUGACCAUUGGACAGUUGAAGACUCUUGGAGACUUUUAUUUAGCUGGACAUGGAUUGUUCUGUCCUAGGAGCUGUUCCCUGCCCCCACCCCACGUGCUCCUCCUCGUCUGGACCACAAUCUCUCUUCCUUUCUCUGGUGACAGUGCAGAACACCUCUGAGCUACAGUGCAAUAGCACAGAUCUUGUUCCAUGGAGUUUAAACUCUACAAGGAGAUCAUCAGAGAACAGAGCAGCUGAAUGACUAAAUUCUAACUCGGUGGAGAUAUGAAAUUUGGCACUUUCCCCCUUCUGGUUAGCAGCCCCCAAAGCCAUUCUAACUGCAGUAACAUGAAUGACACCCUACUUCUCAAGCUUACGAAGCCUUCCUCGAAGGCCACCACCAGGCCAGCAUUGUGUGCAGAUCCGCAGGCCGCUGGGCGAUCGACCUGAUGAUGCCUUAGAGAGCACCAGACAUGAGGAUGCAUCUUCAUUUCAGGCAUCCCAGGCUCACUGCAAACAUGGAUUUGGUGAGCCAAAGCCCAGCUGGAGUGAGAGUGAGUGCUCCUGAGAAGUGCUGCUCUGAGCCAGGCAUUCCUGCAACAGUCAACCUGGCUUGGGGAAAAGGCUGGAAGGGCAUUUAGGCCUCAAGAAGUCAGCAUCAGGGACUUCCUUGGCAGUCCAGUGGUUAAGAAUCCACCUCCAGUGUAGGGGAUGUGAAUUCGAUCCCUGGUCAGGGAAUUAAGAUCCCUCAUGCAAUGGGGCAACUAAGCCAGCACACCACAACUACUGAGCAUGUGCACUCUGGAGCCCAUGUGCCACAAUGAAGAGCCUUCAUGCUGCACGGAAAAGUCCCACAUGCAGCAGGGAAGAGUCUGCAUGCUGCCACUAAGACCCACACAGCCAAAAAUAAAUGAAUUAAAAAUUCAAGAAGUCACUGUCAAUAAAUAAAUAACACUUGCUUGAUUUCUGUGACAUAAUACAUCUUCUUUGAAUAAAGGAUUCUCUUUACUAAAAUAAAACUAGCCAAAAAAAUAAGCAAAGGGAGACUUUCACAGUCAGUAUAAGUUGGCUGUCAGAUAAUGCUGAUUAAUAGUAAAAUAUUACAGCCUCCCUCUGAAGUUGGAGUAAGCGCUGCUGAAAAUCACAGCCAUGAUCACCUAAUACAACAGAUUUUGGAAACUAGUGGCUCAAUAUAGCUGGCGCUCAGGAGAUGUACCGGAGAGAAGCAGGGGCUGGAAAAUCAGGCAGGUGUAAGUCUUUUUAAGCCAUUCUGAUAUUUUGUUUUGUCCUACAAGCGAUUAGAAUCCAAUUAGAAGGUCAGAUCAGAUUUUUAUAUACCUACAAUGAGGGUCUGUGCUACUAGGUGAUCCGAAAGUGUUAUUUGCUCAGUUGUGUCCGGUGCUUUGUGACCCUAUGGACAGUAGCCUGACAGGCUCCUCUGUCCAUGGGGUUUCCCAGGCAAGAAUACUGGAGUUGGUAGGCAUUCCUUUCUCCAGGGGAUCUUCCUGACCCAGGGAUCGAACCCAGGUGUCCUGCAUUGCAGACAGAUUCUUUACCAUCUGAACCACCAGGGAAGCCCCCACUUAAUACUUAGGGAGGAAAAAAAUGUACCUAUCAUAUCUAUACCAACAUCAACUAAAAUCCUCUUGCUAGUAUCCUAAGAACAAAGAAGUUCCAACAACUUCUGCAAAUGCAUUUAAAAGGUGUCUUUUUGCUGUUGCUGCGUCGCUUCAGUCGUGUCCGACUCUGUAUGACCCCAUGGACUGCAGCCUACCAGACUUCUCCAUCCAUGGGAUUCUCCAGGCAAGAACACUGGAGUGGGUUGCCAU